GCACUGGCAAAAUCCGGUGUCGGGCGUAGGAACCCGCAAAUAACCUCUAGCAUUAUAGGUUGCUAACUUUACGUUGGUUUUUU
This 83-nucleotide small RNA is filed under the name Vibrio spartinae. RNAcentral describes it as "isrK". It matches the Rfam family "isrK Hfq binding RNA". Lineage: Bacteria; Pseudomonadati; Pseudomonadota; Gammaproteobacteria; Vibrionales; Vibrionaceae. The record is from RNAcentral.